UCUGUCCACUUCAGACUAGCCAUAUCCUGUGUGUGGUUGAGGCAACUCCUAAAACAACCAGAAAUCUGCCUGCCACUCACUGUCACACAUUCUUUCAGUCUCAGCUGCAGUCGUGUCUGAGCCAAUUUAGGUGCCGACACUAAAGGCCGCUGACGUCUUGGGAGUGCUGCGUUCGUGACCACUUUCCGUUGGCUGGCUGAGCACGAGAGAGAGUCCGGUUUGCAUGCAGCGUCAGCUAGCAGAAGGACUGGACAUCUAGAGCAAAGCGCCCGGGUCCAAACAGAGGAAACAGUACAUUCACUGCCUGAAGAGGACUAUUCAUGGGUUGCACGUUUCGUCACAAUAUUGUUUUGAACAUUUGUUUUAGGACCGAUGCCCAGCGGAGCGUUCUACUCAAUGCUUUGUCAAUGUGCGCUG
Molecule: long non-coding RNA, 417 nt
Organism: Coregonus clupeaformis (lake whitefish)
Lineage: Eukaryota; Metazoa; Chordata; Actinopteri; Salmoniformes; Salmonidae
Exons: 3
Source: RefSeq, a predicted model, not a curated record